CAAGCAUUAAAUUUUUUACUUGAAUUAUUGACAUAAAAUAACUGCUUAUAAAUUAAGGAAGAAUUUUUCGAAGGGUGAAUAUUGCGUAAGUAAAUUUUGUGUAACCACAUGAAUUUU
RNAcentral lists this non-coding RNA (117 nucleotides) under Aggregatibacter aphrophilus NJ8700. RNAcentral's name for it is "Aggregatibacter sRNA JA02". It matches the Rfam family "Aggregatibacter sRNA JA02". Lineage: Bacteria; Pseudomonadati; Pseudomonadota; Gammaproteobacteria; Pasteurellales; Pasteurellaceae. The record is from Rfam by way of RNAcentral.